GGCGGCAUGCCUUACACAUGCAAGUCGAACGGCAGCACGGGGGCAACCCUGGUGGCGAGUGGCGAACGGGUGAGUAAUACAUCGGAACGUGUCCUGUAGUGGGGGAUAGCCCGGCGAAAGCCGGAUUAAUACCGCAUACGCUCUACGGAGGAAAGGGGGGGAUCUUCGGACCUCCCGCUAGAGGGGCGGCCGAUGGCAGAUUAGCUAGUUGGUGGGGUAAAGGCCUACCAAGGCGACGAUCUGUAGCUGGUCUGAGAGGACGACCAGCCACACUGGGACUGAGACACGGCCCAGACUCCUACGGGAGGCAGCAGUGGGGAAUUUUGGACAAUGGGCGCAAGCCUGAUCCAGCAAUGCCGCGUGUGUGAAGAASGCCUUCGGGUUGUAAAACACUUUUGUCCGGAAAGAAAACCGCCUGGCUAAUAUCCGGGUGGGAUGACGGUACCCGAAGAAUAAACACCGGCUAACUACGUGCCAGCAAGCCGCGGUAAUACCUUAGGUGCCAGCGGUWAUCCGAAUUCCUGGGCCUUAAAACGUGCCACGCGGUCCCUAAA
This 554-nucleotide ribosomal RNA is filed under the name uncultured beta proteobacterium. RNAcentral's name for it is "bacterial SSU rRNA". It matches the Rfam family "Bacterial small subunit ribosomal RNA", at positions 38 to 586 of the family's 1533-position model. The record is from RNAcentral. Lineage: Bacteria; Pseudomonadati; Pseudomonadota; Betaproteobacteria.